This 924-nucleotide long non-coding RNA is filed under the name Oryza sativa aus subgroup. RNAcentral's name for it is "lncRNA OsN22_09G010600". Lineage: Eukaryota; Viridiplantae; Streptophyta; Magnoliopsida; Poales; Poaceae. The record is from RNAcentral.
AUGACGAGCUCCGGCAAGCGAGCCGACGGAUUCCUGAGGCGGUUCCGGCGCCGGCGACUCCUCGCCUUCCUCCGGCGCGAGCACCUCUACGCCACCUUGGACGCGUACGCGAAUCCUUCUCUCCUUUUUCCCUAACUACUUCUACUACUACUACUAGUCGCUGAUUGAAUCGGAUGCAGGCUGGGCGGCGAGACGCGGCUGUUCCUCAACGCGCGGACCCUGCAGACCAUGCUGGCGGACUGCCGGUGGGAGGAGGCGCGGCGGUACGUCGGCCGCUUCCUGCCGCGCCGCCAGAUUGGGGUGGAGGCGCGCGCCGUCCUCAGACUCAUCGCCUACCUCAGCGCCGUCGACGACGUCGCCCAGGGCAGACGUCCGGGGAGCGAAUUCGCCGGCGACCAUCUCGAGAGGGAGUUCGAAGCUGACGCUACUUCCUCCAAUACCAUGGUCUGCGCCGAUUUCGUCCGGAAAAUCUCCCGCAAGCGCUCCUCUUUCCCAGGAAGAUGGGAUUCCGUUGAAUGGCAAUUCCUUAGGAUCCAGGCAGCAUUGAUCGUCAAGGAAUUGGUCAUCAACACUCCGGAGUUCAGUCAUCUGUUGCGGUUGCCACGGUACCCAGUCAAUCCGGAAUGCAUGAUGCCCGUCUGGUUUGGGUGUCGCCGGAAGCAUCAGAGAAAGAUCAUAGGUCGGAUGCCGGCAUCUCUUCUAGCCCACUGUUUUCUUCCAAAGGAGAGGUGUCCUUCACCAAAGAAACAAGGUAUUCCAGGUGCCCCAGUUGUGCCAUGUAUAGGUAGAAAUUGUGGUCUAUUAUCUGCUAAUGCAGUUACAGAGCAUUUGAGUCAGGAAGAUUGUCACUCUGAAAGUGUUGCUAGUACGAAGCAUUCACCUACAACUAGGGAAUUAUGUCCAGUAAGUCGCUCACAUACUUGA